This 381-nucleotide unclassified non-coding RNA is filed under the name uncultured Pseudomonadota bacterium. RNAcentral's name for it is "uncultured proteobacterium contains 16S-23S intergenic spacer region". The record is from RNAcentral. Lineage: Bacteria; Pseudomonadati; Pseudomonadota.
UCACUACUUGCGUAGGCAGUCUCUCUAGAGUGCCCAGCUUUACCUGAUGGCAACUAGAGACAGGGGUUGCGCUCGUUGCGGGACUUAACCCAACAUCUCACGACACGAGCUGACGACGGCCAUGCAGCACCUGUGUCCAGGCUCUCUUUCGAGCACCCAACCAUCUCUGAUCAGUUCCUGGCAUGUCAAGGGUAGGUAAGGUUUUUCGCGUUGCAUCGAAUUAAACCACAUCAUCCACCGCUUGUGCGGGUCCCCGUCAAUUCCUUUGAGUUUUAGCCUUGCGGCCGUACUCCCCAGGCGGAGUGCUUAACGCGUUAGCUGCGGCACUGGAGGGGUCAAUACCCCCAACGCCUAGCACUCAUCGUUUACGGCGUGGACUAC